This 527-nucleotide ribosomal RNA is filed under the name uncultured bacterium. RNAcentral's name for it is "bacterial SSU rRNA". It matches the Rfam family "Bacterial small subunit ribosomal RNA", at positions 777 to 1304 of the family's 1533-position model. The record is from RNAcentral.
AAUAGAUACCCUGGUAGUCCACGCCGUAAACGAUGUCGACUUGGAGGUUGUUCCCUUGAGGAGUGGCUUCCGGAGCUAACGCGUUAAGUCGACCGCCUGGGGAGUACGGCCGCAAGGUUAAAACUCAAAUGAAUUGACGGGGGCCCGCACAAGCGGUGGAGCAUGUGGUUUAAUUCGAUGCAACGCGAAGAACCUUACCUACUCUUGACAUCCAGAGAACUUUCCAGAGAUGGAUUGGUGCCUUCGGGAACUCUGAGACAGGUGCUGCAUGGCUGUCGUCAGCUCGUGUUGUGAAAUGUUGGGUUAAGUCCCGCAACGAGCGCAACCCUUAUCCUUUGUUGCCAGCGGUUCGGCCGGGAACUCAAAGGAGACUGCCAGUGAUAAACUGGAGGAAGGUGGGGAUGACGUCAAGUCAUCAUGGCCCUUACGAGUAGGGCUACACACGUGCUACAAUGGCAUAUACAAAGAGAAGCGACCUCGCGAGAGCAAGCGGACCUCAUAAAGUAUGUCGUAGUCCGGAUUGGAGU